AAGCGUGCACCCGACAUCCGACGGCCUCCGUUUUAUAAAAUGAGUUCAAAUCGCAAUAACCCCUCAGCGCGAAAAGAGCCCGUUUCCAUUACGCGUAUCAUAUUAUUUACAAGCGGCCGGUCCAGUUUAAGAGCCAGAUGGCUACCCCGCCCACAUGGUAAUGCUAUAUUUCCCUAGCCGCCGCGGCGCGUCGGUUUCCGCGCUGCUCCCGCAGCACUGAGAACAUUGUUUUGCCGUUCCCUCCAGGAGACGCUGUGAGAGCUCAGUUUCAUAUCAGGAAAAAUGAGCUGCGAAUUCCGUUUUGUUUUUGUUUCAUCUUUAUUUAAAGGAAACGUGCCAGCAAAGGUCAUUGAAUAAGUGUGCGUCUGUGCCCGCCCGAGCUGAAACUUCAUUUGGAGGAUCCUGUAAGAAAGCAGUGUCACGGGUCAGGACUGCAGUUUUUCAUACGUGACUGAUGGGCUGGGCUCUACAGACCAACGGGCUGCCUCUACAGACCAACGAGCUGAGCUCUACAGACCAACAGGCCUGGCUCUACAGGCCAACUGCUCAACCUCUACAGACCGAUGGGUUGAGCUCUACAGACCAACAGCUCAACCUCUACAGACCGAUGGGUUGAGCUCUACAGACCAACAGGCUGAGCUCUACAGACCAACAGGCUGGGCUCUACAGACCAACAGGCUGGGCUCUACAGACCGACGGGCUGGGCUCUACAGACCAACAGGCUGGGCUCUACAGACCAACAGGCUGGGCUCUACAGGCUGAUGGGCCGACACCCCAACACACACACACACACCUACACCCCAACACACACACACACACACACACCUACACCCCAACACACACACACACCUACACCCCAACACACACACACACACACACACACACACACACAACUACACCCCAACGCACACACACACACACACCUACACCCCAACGCACACACACACACACACACCUACACCCCAACACACACACACACACACCUACACCCCAACACACACACACACACACACCUACACCCCAACACACACACACACACACACA
Anguilla rostrata (American eel) is the source of this 1044-nucleotide long non-coding RNA. RefSeq lists it as uncharacterized. The record is from RefSeq and is a predicted model, not a curated record. The transcript has 3 exons. NCBI's taxonomy places the organism in Eukaryota, Metazoa, Chordata, Actinopteri, Anguilliformes, Anguillidae.